UUUAUUUUCUGUUCGGUUAUUCUAGACUGUUAUUCUAGAUUCUAGAGCAGCGCCGUUGUGAACAGCUCUCCCGAGGCGACGGCGGAGCGCUCCUAUGACGUAAUGCCCCUAGGCAACCGCGGCCCCUCGAGGCCCCCGGGGGUGACCGCGUGCGCUCCGGGACAAUCCUUCAUCUCCCGGCGGCCGUGUGCCUUCAGCAGGUGCAAAGAGAAAUCGAUUCCCUGCUGUUGUUGUUGUUGUUACGUUGGUUAAGGCGCACAGGGGUCUCUUUUUCUAAACACGUGCUCUGAAAUUCACCCUGCUUCGCCAAUAGAAGAUAACCGACUCCACCGAAGGCUUGUCCCAAACUACUGGCCACUGGCAUAAGACGUUUCAGCUUUGCGAAGACCCGUUCUCCAGGUUGGAGAAGAACACCGAGCCCAGUAAUGGUUGGGAGGUCAGACCCAUGCCUUGCAACCCAGGAAAGGUUGCUGGUUGUCCAACAAGAUGAAGCCCUGUGUCAACGUGGUUGUCCAUCAGAAACGGGCAGUGAUCCUAUAGCAGAUACCGGUGCAUCUGAAGCACCAGUCACAGACCGAGCUGCUAAGAUGCAUCAAGAGCAAGCUGAGGCUAACUGCGAGAGGGCCGUUGAGACCAUGGAUGGAACGCUGGUAGACAACCAUGGAAGAAAUCUGCUCUGUGUCCAUGUUCCCUCAUUCCUCGUACCCGAGUUCAGAGUGAGAGAGGGUACCUUUCCUCAGCCCCAUGGAUCCUACUACAGCCUUGGACACUGCCUUCGUACCAACAUCUUCCCAGGUAUGAGCUGGAAGAAAUUUCAUUCUGACACUACAUAUCUGCCCCAGCUGUCCUCAGAUCUGAAA
This 860-nucleotide long non-coding RNA is filed under the name Lepisosteus oculatus (spotted gar). RNAcentral's name for it is "lncRNA (ENSLOCG00000023089.1)". The record is from RNAcentral. Lineage: Eukaryota; Metazoa; Chordata; Actinopteri; Semionotiformes; Lepisosteidae.